AUUCUCUCAGUGCAACGCCAAGGCAGAGGGUGGACGAGAGUACGUAAAGGCGAAUAUCUACUACUUGUUGAAGUUGAAAAGCAGUUUACGGCAACCUCCUAUUAAUGGAUUAUGAAUGUGGCAGUGCAAAGAAUGCAGUUUGCAAUUAGCUAGCAGCGUGACAACAUCAACACCAGGAGGGAGUGUAUCCUGAGAUGCAUCAUCUACCUCAAUGAAGAUCCAGACACCAUCUUCAAAGAAUAUCUGGCACUGGCGACCGAGGAUGCAGAAAGGGACCUAGCAACCACAGUCAUGUGACCGGAAGUGAUGGGGAUCAGGAGCCUGAGGACGUUGGAGUUGUGGAGUCAAGUUCAUUCUAUUUGGCAUCAUUCACCAUGGUGAAACUCAAACAUCCAACAGGAAAAAAAAACAUUUUUUGAUUGGAGGGGUUCUAAGGAAAUGAAGUUCAAAUGUAAAUGUAUUUCAAUAAAAAAUAAAAUAAAAAUAAAAAACCA
Pimephales promelas (fathead minnow) is the source of this 494-nucleotide non-coding RNA. The record is from RefSeq and is a predicted model, not a curated record. Lineage: Eukaryota; Metazoa; Chordata; Actinopteri; Cypriniformes; Leuciscidae.